UACCUUACCUUACCUUACCUUACCUUACCUUACCUUACCUUACCUUACCUUACCUUACCUUACUUAACAUAAUCUAGACCUAACCUAACCCAACUAAAUCUAAACUUAACUAACUUGGCCCAUCUUAGCUUACCUUAACUUAAUAUAACUAAAGAACAUUAGAAAAUCUUUAGAUUAGGCUUGGUAGGUUGGAUUAGGUUGAGUUAGGUUAGGUGGGAGUUAACUUGGGCUAGGUUAGGUUAGGUUAAUGGUUAAAUCAGAUUUGUUCCCCGAUACUACACUCUCGCUAGGCUGUGUCCCACAUUUGUACCUGAGGUGUAAGGGUAAAUUGGUACCCUGGUGAGCAUAAGCUUGUCGUAAUCUGUACUCUCCUCAUUGCUGCUGUGACUUGUGGCCAGUGCUUGUAUUCUCAAAGGAUUGUAUGUUAAGAUAUUAUCGUAAAUGAGAACAUGGAGAGGUGGCUAACAGGCUUACUUAAGAUAUAUCAGAAAAUUAUGUCCAAAAUGGCGUCAGAAUUACAAUAAAACUUUUAGAACACAUGUCCACUUUAGUAGAUUCGUCCACUUAAGUAGAUAGGUCCACUUAUGUAGUUAUGUUUACUUAAGUAGAUAGGUCCACUGAGCAUCAUUCGGGGUACAAACUUAAUAUACAAGACUCCUGAAGCGACUGACAGCAGAUGUGCAUUUUGACUUCUCUUGAUGGUCAUUAUAAGACAAUUUAUUUUCAAUGUUGCAAAUAUUCACUUGAUGUAGAUUAAAGCUUUUGUAUCA
Homarus americanus (American lobster) is the source of this 770-nucleotide long non-coding RNA. RefSeq lists it as uncharacterized. The record is from RefSeq and is a predicted model, not a curated record. The transcript has 2 exons. Lineage: Eukaryota; Metazoa; Arthropoda; Malacostraca; Decapoda; Nephropidae.